CAAAAUUUCAAUAUGCGGGCA
This 21-nucleotide non-coding RNA is filed under the name Arabidopsis thaliana (thale cress). The record is from RNAcentral. Lineage: Eukaryota; Viridiplantae; Streptophyta; Magnoliopsida; Brassicales; Brassicaceae.